This 1104-nucleotide ribosomal RNA is filed under the name Plasmodium falciparum (malaria parasite P. falciparum). Its description in RNAcentral is "SSU rRNA". It matches the Rfam family "Eukaryotic small subunit ribosomal RNA", at positions 608 to 1479 of the family's 1831-position model. The record is from RNAcentral. Lineage: Eukaryota; Apicomplexa; Aconoidasida; Haemosporida; Plasmodiidae.
AAAAUUGUUGCAGUUAAAACGUUCGUAGUUGAAUAUUAAAGAAUCCGAUGUUUCAUUUAAACUGGUUUGGGAAAACCAAAUAUAUUAUAUAUUUUGCUUUGUUCAAAAUAAGGUUUUCUAAUAAAUUAUGUUUUUAUCAGAUAUGACAGAAUCUUUUUUAAAAUCUCUUCAAUAUGCYUUUAUUGCUUUUGAGAGGUUUUGUUACUUUGAGUAAAAUUAAGUGUUCAUAACAGACGGGUAGUCAUGAUUGAGUUCAUUGUGUUUGAAUACUACAGCAUGGAAUAACAAAUAUGAAUAAGCUAAUUAUUUUUUUUUUUCAUAAUUUUUUUUGAUAUUCUUAUUAGCUUAGUUACGAUUAAUAGGAGUAGCUUUGGGGGCAUUCGUAUUCAGAUGUCAGAGGUGAAAUUCUAAGAUUUUCUGGAGACGGACUACUGCGAAAGCAUUUGCCUAAUCUAUUUCCAUUAAUCAAGAACGAAAGUUAAGGGAGUGAAGACGAUCAGAUACCGUCGUAAUCUUAACCAUAAACUAUACCGACUAGGUGUUGGAUGAAAGUGUUAAAAAUAAAAGUCAUCUUUCGAGGUGACUUUUAGAUUGCUUCCUUCAGUACCUUAUGAGAAAUCAAAGUCUUUGGGUUCUGGGGCGAGUAUUCGCGCAAGCGAGAAAGUUAAAAGAAUUGACGGAAGGGCACCACCAGGCGUGGAGCUUGCGGCUUAAUUUGACUCAACACGGGGAAACUCACUAGUUUAAGACAAGAGUAGGAUUGACAGAUUAAUAGCUCUUUCUUGAUUUCUUGGAUGGUGAUGCAUGGCCGUUUUUAGUUCGUGAAUAUGAUUUGUCUGGUUAAUUCCGAUAACGAACGAGAUCUUAACCUGCUAAUUAGCGGCGAGUACACUAUAUUCUUAUUUGAAAUUGAACAUAGGUAACUAUACAUUUAUUCAGUAAUCAAAUUAGGAUAUUUUUAUUAAAAUAUCCUUUUCCCUGUUCUACUAAUAAUUUGUUUUUUACUCUAUUUCUCUCUUCUUUUAAGAAUGUACUUGCUUGAUUGAAAAGCUUCUUAGAGGAACAUUGUGUGUCUAACACAAGGAAGUUUAAGGCAACAACAGG